This 1186-nucleotide unclassified non-coding RNA is filed under the name Hevea brasiliensis (rubber tree). The record is from RNAcentral. Lineage: Eukaryota; Viridiplantae; Streptophyta; Magnoliopsida; Malpighiales; Euphorbiaceae.
GAAGGAAAUAUGCAUCACAUGGUGAACAUGAUAAGCUCAAAUCUUCUUUAAAAUCUUCAAAUUCCAAAAAAAUGUCUCGGUCAGUCACUUGGGCUGAUGAAAGUAUCGAUGGUGGCAUUGGCAAGAAAACAGAGAGCUCAUCCAAAAUAUCAGAAUAUGAGAGUCAAGCUUAUGGGGGAUCAGCCUCUACUGAUAUGGAAGAGAAUGAUGAUUCAUAUCGGUUUGAAUCUGCAGAAGCCUGUGCAGCAGCACUAAGCCAAGCAGCAGAGGCUGUUGCCUCAGGUUCUGAUGUUCCUGAUGCUGUGUCCAAAGCCGGGAUUGUAAUAUUGCCACCUUCACAAGAAGUGGAUGAAGCAAUACUUCAGGAGACUGAUGAGAUGCUUGAUUUAGAAACAGCUCCUUUAAAAUGGCCAAGAAAACCAGGGAUGCCAAAUUAUGAUGUCUUUGAAUCAGAGGACUCUUGGUAUGAUAGUCCACCUGAGGGGUUCAAUAUGACUCUGUCACCUUUCGGAACAAUGUUUAAUUCCCUCUUCACAUGGAUAUCAUCAUCGUCCUUGGCAUUUAUAUAUGGGCAUGAUGAAAGCAAUAACGAGGAGUAUUUGUCUAUCAAUGGAAGAGAAUAUCCUCGCAAAAUUGUGUUAUCUGAUGGCCGGUCAACUGAGAUUAAGCAGACUCUAGCUGGCUGUCUUGCUCGAGCAUUGCCGGGAUUGGUUGCUGACCUUAGGCUGCCUGUACCGAUAUCAACUUUAGAGCAAGGAAUGGUUCUCCUCUUAAAUACAAUGUCUUUUGUGGAUCCACUCCCUGCAUUCCGAAUGAAGCAAUGGCAACUUAUUGUACUUCUGUUUCUUGAUGCUCUUUCUGUAUGUAGGAUACCCACACUGACUCCAUAUAUGACGGGGCGAAGGACUUCGUUUCCAAAGGUGCUUGAUGGUGCUCAGAUAAGCGCAGCGGAAUAUGAGAUCAUGAAAGAUCUGAUCAUUCCACUAGGUCGAGUGCCUCAGUUCUCAAUGCAAAGUGGAGGCUAGUUUGACAUGAAAUAGCUGUUGUGGACCCUCUCCUAUAAACCUUCAUGGUAGAAAGAGGUUGUGAAAGUAGACUUGAAAGUGUGCACAUACCGCAAAAUUAUAUAUGUUUGUUGCAACUUCUCUUCAUAUCUGCUUAUGUUAUAGAAUUUGCUAUGUUGUCA